RNAcentral lists this ribosomal RNA (274 nucleotides) under uncultured bacterium. Its description in RNAcentral is "partial 16S ribosomal RNA". It matches the Rfam family "Archaeal small subunit ribosomal RNA", at positions 473 to 747 of the family's 1478-position model. The record is from RNAcentral.
AAACCAGCACCUCAAGUGGUCAGGAGGAUUAUUGGGCCUAAAGCAUCCGUAGCCUGCUUUGUAAGUUUCCGGUUAAAUCCAUUAGCUUAACUGAUGGGCCGCCGGAAAAACUGCAAAGCUAGGGAGUGGGAGAGGUAGACGGUACUCGGUAGGAAGGGGUAAAAUCCUUUGAUCUAUUGAUGACCACCAGUGGCGAAGGCGGUCUACCAGAACACGUUCGACGGUUAGGGAUGAAAGCUGGGGGAGCAAACCGGAUUAGAAACCCCUGUAGUCC